Molecule: ribosomal RNA, 475 nt
Filed under: Oryzias mekongensis
Lineage: Eukaryota; Metazoa; Chordata; Actinopteri; Beloniformes; Adrianichthyidae
Description: partial 16S ribosomal RNA
Rfam family: Bacterial large subunit ribosomal RNA
Source: RNAcentral
UGCCUUUUAAAUGAAGGCCUGUAUGAAUGGCAUAACGAGGGCUUAACUGUCUCUUUCUCCCAGUCAAUGAAAUUGAUCUCUCCGUGCAGAAGCGGAGAUAAAAACAUAAGACGAGAAGACCCUGUGGAGCUUUAGACUACAGACAGACCAUGUAAAAAAUACCAACAUAAAAGGCUUCAAACAAAUUGGUAACUGUUUUAGUGUCUUUGGUUGGGGCGACCGCGGGAUAAUGAAAAACUCCCACGUGGAUUGAGAAUACCCUAUUCUUACAACCAAGAGUUCCCUCUCUAAGUAACAGAACAUCUGACCUUAAUGAUCCGGCAUUGCCGAUCAACGAACCGAGUUACCCCAGGGAUAACAGCGCAAUCCUCUUUUAGAGCCCAUAUCGACAAGAGGGUUUACGACCUCGAUGUUGGAUCAGGACAUCCUAAUGGUGCAGCCGCUAUUAAGGGUUUGUUUGUUCAACAAUUAAAGU